UAGACACUCGACGAUGGGUAUUAAAAUUAUAUUAAAAGAAAUUAAUAUUUUUACAGCAAACGCGUUAAAUACUCUACCUGAAAAANUUUACCAGGUCUUGAUCGAUAUUCGACAAUAAUUCAUUAUUGGUGUUGUUAAAUUUUUACUUUUAACAUUCGAUAUCCACAGGGU
Molecule: ribosomal RNA, 171 nt
Filed under: uncultured bacterium
Lineage: Bacteria
Description: partial 16S ribosomal RNA
Source: RNAcentral